AUGAUGAUCGGUGUCGCAGGCUUCAGCCGGCACAUCGGCCAGCUCUUGAGUAAAAGCAACGGGUUUAUUGCGGCGUCCCUGUCCGCGGCGAGCUGCGCGGACGAGGCGGAGAAGGCCGAGGGCGCGGGGUGCCGGGACGACGCGGCGGCGCUGAGGCUCAAAUGGAUUGCCAUGGCGGCGAUACUGGUGUCCGGGGUAAUGGGCGUGGGCCUGCCGCUCGCGGGGCGGAAGCGGCGGACGGUGCAGACCGGCAGCGCUGUCUUCGUGGCCGCCAAGGCUUUCGCGGCCGGCGUGAUCCUGGCCACGGGGUUCGUCCACAUGCUGCACGACGCCGAGCACGCGCUCUCCAACCCCUGCCUCCCAGCCGGGCCCUGGCGGCGGUUCCCGUUCCCCGGGUUCGUCGCCAUGCUCGCUGCUCUCGCCACGCUGGUGCUCGACGUCCUGGUAACCAGGUUCUACGAGACCAAGCACCGCGCGGAGGUAGCUCGGGUCAAGGCUGACGCCGCUGCCGCACUCGCCGCCGCGUCCACCUCCGCCAGCGACGAAGACAUCACUGUGGUCACCGUCGUCGAGAGUGAGCACAAGGUCCCGCUCUUGCAAGCCCACUCCCAUUCCCACGCGCAGUCGCAUGGUCACGAGCUGAUGCAACCACAAGGACGCGAGGGGGAGGUGUCAGACCACGUGCGCUCCGUCGUGGUAUCACAGAUACUGGAAAUGGGGAUUGUGUCGCACUCGGUGAUCAUUGGGCUGUCGCUUGGGGUGUCUCGGAGUCCCUGCACAAUCAGGCCACUGGUGGCAGCGCUCUCAUUCCACCAGUUCUUCGAGGGGUUUGCCCUCGGUGGGUGCAUUGCGCAGGCUCAGUUUAAGAACCUUUCGGCAGUCAUGAUGGCGUCAUUUUUUGCCAUUACAACACCAACUGGUAUCGCCGCUGGGGCCGGUCUGUCCUCAUUUUACAACGCCAAUAGCCCCAGGGCUCUAGUGGUUGAAGGCAUCCUCGAUUCUGUGUCGGCCGGCAUACUCAUAUACAUGGCGCUGGUGGAUCUAAUCGCAGCCGAUUUCUUGGGUGGGAAGAUGACAGGGUCGCCACGGCAGCAAGUGAUGGCCUAUGUCGCCCUGUUCCUAGGUGCGCUCUCAAUGUCAUCGCUUGCAGUUUGGGCCUGA
This 1161-nucleotide ribosomal RNA is filed under the name Triticum aestivum (bread wheat). RNAcentral's name for it is "partial small subunit ribosomal RNA". Lineage: Eukaryota; Viridiplantae; Streptophyta; Magnoliopsida; Poales; Poaceae. The record is from RNAcentral.